CAACUUCCUGUAGGUUUCUGCGGUACCGCUGCUCCUCCAGCUCCGGCAGGAAGAAGACAGAGAUGAUCCUCUCCGUGAUCUCGUUUGAAGAAGUGGCUGUCAGCACAGAUCCUGCUGUUCCACAUGAUGGAUGACCACAAUCGUCCCUACCGUGAGAUACAAGUAUGUGCUCCCCCUGAAUGAACAACAUCAGAUGACACCUCGAUGAGCAUCACGCAUACCCAGGGCAGGUCACUAUGUCAUAAAGAAUAGAUGAGGGAAACACGAAGAAGCCAGAUUGAGGGUUCAGAGCAGAAAUGGGCCAGGGAGUGGAGAUGUGGAUAGAGAUACGAGAGUGAGGAGAAGGCAUCGGGAAGAGAGGAAGGAUGAAUGAGGAGGAGGAGAGACAAACAGAAAUCAAGAGUGAGUCCUGGAUGGGAAGAGAGAUGUCAACAGCUGAACACGCUGACCACUGACACACAGCAGAGAGAUUUCACUGAGCUAUUUUGAUAGAGCUACUUAUUUUAGACUGUAUGUCGCUCAGAACACUUUCAUUUUGUCUAUUUCUCCAUCAGUGAUCUCACAAAUUCACUUGCAGGCGCAGCAGCAGCAGUGACAUUUUGAAGAAAUCUGCCAAUGGAUCUUCAAAAUCUUGCCACUUUGCAAUAAUUGAAG
Long non-coding RNA from Notothenia coriiceps (black rockcod), 654 nucleotides. RefSeq lists it as uncharacterized. The record is from RefSeq and is a predicted model, not a curated record. The transcript is spliced from 3 exons. Lineage: Eukaryota; Metazoa; Chordata; Actinopteri; Perciformes; Nototheniidae.